This 2635-nucleotide long non-coding RNA is filed under the name Homo sapiens (human). RNAcentral describes it as "HSALNT0341399". The record is from RNAcentral. Lineage: Eukaryota; Metazoa; Chordata; Mammalia; Primates; Hominidae.
GAGAAUCGCUUGAACCCGGGAGGCGGAAGUUGCAGUGAACUGAGAUCGAGCCACUGCAUUGCAGCCUGAGUAAUAGAAUGAUGACUCUCUCAAAAGAAAAAAAAAAGCAAAAAACCGGCUUCCAGCAUUUGUGAAAUGGCGUGAUCAGGUCAAGUAUUAGUUCAGGCCAUCUCCAGGGUCUCUUGUUUGUUUGUUUUGAGACAGGGUCUCACACUGUCAUGCAGACUGGAGUGCAGUGGCAUGAUCAUAGCUAACUGUGGCCUCCAACUCCUGGGCUCAAGUGAUCUUCCCACCUCAGUCACCCGAGUAGCUAAGCCUACAGGCAUGCACCACCAUGUCCGGCUAAUUUUAUUUUUUUGUAGGGGUGGGGUCUUGCUAUGUUGCCUAGGCUGAUCUUGAAUUCCUGGGAUCAAGGAAUCCUUCUGCUUUGGUCUCCCAAAGUGCUAGGAUUACAGGUGUGAGCCACUGUGCCUGGCCAAAGGGGUGCAUUUUGUGUGUUUAUUUUUAUUUUUAUUUUUUGAGACAGAGUUUCACUCUGUCGCCCAGUCUGGAGUGCAGUGGCACGAUCUCAGCUCACUACAGCCUCUCCCUCCCGGGUUCAAGCGAUUCUGCCACCUCAGCCUCCAGAAUAGCUGGGACUACAGGUGCCCACCACCACGCCCGGCUAAUUUUUGUAUUUUUAGUAGAGAUGGGGUUUCACCAUGUUGACCGGGCUGGUCUUGAACACCUGAACUCAGGUGAUCAGCCUGCCUCGGCCUUCCAAAGUGCUGGGAUUACAGGUGUGAACCACUGCGCUCAGCCAGCGGUGCAUUUUUGAGUAGUAAAUGUGGGGAACACGGCUAUAGCACAUAAACCCCAGCAACCAUGCGGCUGCCACCAGGUUUGAGGGGACGCUGGUGGCCCCCUUCCACUGGGCAGCUUGCUCCUUCCGCCCUGUAAUGUGAUGUUCCUUGAAGUGUGCUUCAAAUUCCUUAGCUAUAACGUUUUAUUUCAGAAUAAAAAUAAAUAACCAGGUCAGGUAAAGAAAACUGAUGGCAAGCCUUGCUGUGCGAGAGGAAUUUUUUUUGUUUUUUUUUUUUACAGGUGACAAUUCCCAGUUAAACAUUUUCACACAGUCAAGGAGGGGGACAGCUUGGGCUCACAACAAUGCUGCUAGAAAAUCGGCCGGGCACGAUGGCUCAUGCCUGUAAUGCCAGCACUUUGGGAGGCCGAGGCAGGCAGAUCACAUGAGGUCAGGAGUUUCAGAUUAGCCUGGCCAACAUGGUGAAAAGUCGUCUCUACUAAAAAUACAAAAAUUGGCCAGGUGUGGUGGUGGGCACCUGUAAUCCCAGCUACUCAGGAGGCUGAGGCAGGAGAAUUGCCUGAACCUGGGAGGUGGAGUUUGCAGUGAGCUGAGAUCACACUACUACACUUCAGCCUGGAAAACAGAGUGACACUCUGUCUCAAAAAUAAAAUAAAAUAAAAUAAUGGACUGGAAAAUCACUCAUGGGCCAAGCGGAUUGCUUGAUGGCUUGCCCAAGAGAUAUUUGAAAAUAUUAAGAGAAAUAGGAAUUAUGGAUCACGAUGGGCCCUUCAAAGAGGAGAAGAACGAUGCAUCGUCAGCUUCUGCAGAAGAUGAAUGACAGAGAAAAGAUAGAUGCGCUUAGGCCGGGCGCCGUGGCUCACGCCUGUAAUCCCAGCACUUUGGGAGGCUGAGGUGGGCAGAUCACGAGGUCAGGAGAUCGAGACCAUCUUGGCUAACAUGGUGAAACCCUGUCUUUACUAAAAUACAAAAAUUAUUAUAUUUUUGUAGAAAUGUGGUGGCAGAUGUCUGUAAUCCCAGCUACUUGGGAGGCUGAAGCAGGGGAAUCACUUGAAUCUGGGAGGUGGAGGUUGCUGUGAGCCAAGAUCACACCACUGCACUCCAGCCUGGCAACAGAGCAAGACUCUCUCAAAAAAAAAAAAAAAAAAAAAAAGAAUAAAGAAAAAAGAAAAGAUAGUGGCUCACGCCUGUAAUCCCAGCACUUUGGGAGGCCGAGGCGGGCAGAUCAUGAGGUCAGGAGAUCGAGACCAUCCUGGCUAACACGGUGAAACCCUGUCUCUACUAAAAAUACAAAAUAUUAGCCGGGCGUGGUGGCGGGCGCCUGUAGUCCCAGCUACUGGGGAGGCUGAGGCAGGAGAAUGGCGUGAACCUGGGAGGCGGAGCUUGCAGUGAGCCGAGAUUGCACCACUGCACUCCACCCUGGGCAACAGAGUGAAACUCCGCCUAAAAAAAAAAAAGAUAGAUACGCUGUUUUUUUCUUUUUUUUUCCACACUAGAGUUUUAUACUCUUCUCACAUAGUUUUGUUCUUUUCAGUAAAAGUAAUUCAUUAAAUCUAAACCUAGCUGUGAUGGUUUCUUGUUUCUUUGCAGGAUGUAUUUUGUUUUGCUUGUUAAACAAGUAACUCUACAAAUCGGAAAACGUGCCUUGUCAGUAUACCCCAGGUAUGGAGUUUUCGUUGAUCAAAUAUGGUCCCUGGAGGUCUGUUUAGGGACCAGGCAGGGUUUUUUUUCUAGCACUUUGUAGGAGCAAAGAACCAAGGCCAGGGCUGGGCGCGGUGGCUCACACUUGUAAUCCCAACACUUCAAUGGGAAGACCACUUGAAGCCAGGAGUU